GAUGAAGAACGUAGCGAAAUGCGAUACUUGGUGUGAAUUGCAGAAUCCCGUGAACCAUCGAGUCUUUGAACGCAAGUUGCGCCUCAAGCCAUUAGGUUGAGGGCACGUCUGCCUGGGCGUCACAUAUCGUUGCCUGAUGCCAGUUUCCUCGUGAUGGGUGACUGUGCAGGGCGAAUGAUGGCUUCCCGUGAGCAUUGUUGGCUCAUGGUUGGUUGAAAAUUGAGUCCUUGGUAGGGAGCGCCGUGAUAGAUGGUGGUUGAGUGACGAACGAGACCCAAUCAUGUGAGACCCCUACCGAAUUUGGCCUUCAUGACCCACAUGCGUCUUUGGAACGCUCAUGACGAGACCUCAGGUCAGGCGGGGCUACCCGCUGAGUUUAAGCAUAUCAAUAAGCGGAGGA
This 400-nucleotide unclassified non-coding RNA is filed under the name soil metagenome. RNAcentral describes it as "partial contains 5.8S ribosomal RNA, internal transcribed spacer 2, and large subunit ribosomal RNA". The stretch from base 1 to 122 matches the Rfam family "5.8S ribosomal RNA", at positions 35 to 154 of the family's 154-position model. The record is from RNAcentral.